RNAcentral lists this long non-coding RNA (450 nucleotides) under Phaseolus vulgaris (common bean). RNAcentral describes it as "long non-coding RNA (PVUL_LNC003639)". Lineage: Eukaryota; Viridiplantae; Streptophyta; Magnoliopsida; Fabales; Fabaceae. The record is from RNAcentral.
UCAAACAAAGCAUCAGCAACAGAACACAAGCAGUGAAAAACCGUCUACAAUCUCAUCAGCAACCUCUACAAUAGCCGAUAAAGCUGUCGCUGCCAAAAAUACAGUAGCUUCAAAGCUCGGAUAUGGUCCUGAAGCAACUCAUCAGGAAGAAGAAAAACCAUCAACAAUCUCUUCAGCAACAUCUGCAAUAGCUGAUAAAGCUGCCAGUGCCAAAAAUACCGUAGCUUCAAAGCUUGGAUAUGGUGCUGAAACAACUCAUCAAGAAGAAAAACCAUCAACAAUCUCUUCAGCAACCUCUGCAAUAGCUGAUAAAGCUGCCAGUGCCAAAAAUACCGUAGCUUCAAAGCUCGGAUAUGGUCCUGAAACAACUCAUCGGGAAGAAGAAAAACCUUCCGUAAUCUCUUCGGCAACCUCUGCAAUAGCUGAUACAGCUGUCUCAGCCAAAAAUAC